This 468-nucleotide ribosomal RNA is filed under the name uncultured bacterium. RNAcentral describes it as "partial 16S ribosomal RNA". It matches the Rfam family "Bacterial small subunit ribosomal RNA", at positions 28 to 507 of the family's 1533-position model. The record is from RNAcentral.
GACGAACGCUGGCGGCGUGCUUAACACAUGCAAGUCGAACGGAAAGGCCCUGCUUUUGUGGGGUGCUCGAGUGGCGAACGGGUGAGUAACACGUGAGUAACCUGCCCUUGACUUUGGGAUAACUUCAGGAAACUGGGGCUAAUACCGGAUAGGAGCUCCUGCUGCAUGGUGGGGGUUGGAAAGUUUCGGCGGUUGGGGAUGGACUCGCGGCUUAUCAGCUUGUUGGUGGGGUAGUGGCUUACCAAGGCUUUGACGGGUAGCCGGCCUGAGAGGGUGACCGGCCACAUUGGGACUGAGAUACGGCCCAGACUCCUACGGGAGGCAGCAGUGGGGAAUAUUGCAAAAUGGGCGGAAGCCUGAUGCAGUAACGCCGCGUGCGGGAUGACGGCCUUCGGGUUGUAAACCGCUUUCGCCUGUGACGAAGCGUGAGUGACGGUAAUGGGUAAAGAAGCACCGGCUAACUACGUG